This is a long non-coding RNA of Hippocampus zosterae (dwarf seahorse), 544 nucleotides long. RefSeq lists it as uncharacterized. The transcript is spliced from 3 exons. NCBI's taxonomy places the organism in Eukaryota, Metazoa, Chordata, Actinopteri, Syngnathiformes, Syngnathidae. The record is from RefSeq and is a predicted model, not a curated record.
AGUUGAGCAAGUUGCUGAACUUGAAAGGCUAAUCGACUUGUUUGUUUCGGCUUCUUUUCUCAAGGCUGCAAUGGAAGGACUUCACGGCCAAGCUCUAAGCUUGGACCCCCGCAGGCAAGAAUUGCUCGAAGCUCGCUUCACUGGAGUUGGCGUGACCAGGAUCAACGGUGAAUCAUCCAGCCAGUCUCUUUGCAGCCUGGGCUCCCUUAGCGACAAGGAAGUGGAGGUCGGUUUGCUCCUGUAGGAUGGCAGACGAUCACUUUCCGAGAGACAUGUUGUCGCUCAUUCUUGGGUCGUAAAUUAGGUUUUCAGCCAAUAGCAGGAGAGGAUGUACAUGGAAGUGCCCCAUGAAGAAACAUGAUUACGGAAUUUUUACAAUCAAGUCUCACGGCCCACACCACAAGGUAGGCCUUCUCCAACACUGUUGCAUCACCACGUUUCUUUCUUGUGGCUUUUUUUAUUUUUAUUUGUUGUAGAACUGCGAGGUGACCCAGGCCAGCCCCCACUUGAGGUUGGUGAGCAUGAACUUGAGCGCCUUGGUCCA